RNAcentral lists this transfer RNA (73 nucleotides) under Canis lupus familiaris (dog). It matches the Rfam family "tRNA". From Rfam's summary of the family: Transfer RNA (tRNA) molecules are approximately 80 nucleotides in length. Their secondary structure includes four short double-helical elements and three loops (D, anti-codon, and T loops). RNAcentral also lists the same sequence under 1 other name. The record is from Rfam by way of RNAcentral. Lineage: Eukaryota; Metazoa; Chordata; Mammalia; Carnivora; Canidae.
GCCUGGCUGGCUCAGUUUGUAGGGCACAGGACUCUUGAUUUUUGGGUUGUAAGUUCAAGCCUUGUGUUGGGUG